RNAcentral lists this long non-coding RNA (4166 nucleotides) under Homo sapiens (human). Its description in RNAcentral is "HSALNT0332947". The record is from RNAcentral. Lineage: Eukaryota; Metazoa; Chordata; Mammalia; Primates; Hominidae.
AGCCCGCACAAUGACUUCCAGCUGGAGCAGCCCAGCCAGCCUGCGCGCUCACUCGCUUGCUUGCGCUGGGCUUCAGGGCGCCCGGGUGAGUUUUUUUCUCUCCCUCUCGUUUUUUUUUUUUUCCCAGGCUCUCGCGGGUUUCCCCUGCCAGGGAAUCCACUCGCUGUAGUUUUCUAGGGCUCUGGUCCCAGUCCUUUCUGAAGCGCGCUUGCAGGCUGUCUUCCUCAGUCGCCCUCUCCCUGGGUGCUGUUUUGCUGGGCAGCAUCCCAUGCUAGGCUCGGCAGACAUUCUGGCGGUUGGGUUCGGCCCUUACAGCGCUAACACCUGCAGAGUCGAGGCUCCUGCCAAAAGGCAGAAAGCAAAGGAGGAAAAAAUUCAUUGUCAUAAUAGCGAAAAUGAUAAACCUCAGCUGUUUAAGAGAAGAAUGUCUGAGUAGCUGUUGAUUAUCUCCCAUAAUCACAAAACAACUUUUUUUUAAAAAGAAUUUGCACUGUCUGUUAAAACGCGGUCAUUGUUUUGCUUUCAAAUCGAACUUCACGACAGUUAGCAACUUCAAGAACGCUUCCAAAUGGAUAAAUCUUUCCAGAAGAUUUCUUGCUUCAAAACAGCUGCAUUUUUGGAAGAAAGUCCACAACUGACAACUAAGCAAAACCCUCCUGGUGGAUAGCAUAAAUCUGCUUUGUUGAAGCUGCUCAUUUGUCUGAUCUAUGAGUCCAGAAGAUGCAAACUCCCUUCCCAGCUUAUGCAAAAAUACUUCCAGUAAAAACAAGCCCUUUGGCCCUUUUCUUUUGUCAGUCCAGAUUUCAGCAUGUUCUUCGCUUUGUUAUUCAUCAUUUUAUGUAUUUGGACCCAUCCUCAAACAGACUUUAAACCGUUUAAAGGCAAGGAGGGACUCUUUCGUAAACCUUUAAUCCCCUGGCCCAGCUGAGUAGAUGCACAGUGUCUUUUGAUGAUGGUGAUAUGGAAUGAUUAAUAACCACACAAGGCAUUCGGUUGGUCAAGUCACUGUUUAUUGGCUCAAAAUAAUCCUUGGUUUCUGUAUGUCUACAGCUCACUUCCUAAACAGUUAAAUCCGGAGAAGUCUAAUAGAUAAUAGUUGGUGAUCAUAAAUAUAAAUAACCAAUACAUUAGAAUGUGUAGUCAAAAUAGGAAUACUUGCUUUUCACUUACUUCCCACGGGUCGCUGCUGGUGGUAGUCAACACAAAUAAAAAUUUGAACUCAUUUUGUUAUUCAUCUAAAAUGAGAAACUCGGUGAAACAUUGAUUUUCUAAAAUUGCUGCAUAUUUAAAUGUGAUUAUAAUUGCUUUUUAGCAUUUUAAAAUUGUAACAUCGAUACCAAAUGCUUAAGAAUCUAAAGAAUAGUCUAUUGGGGCUGGCCUAUUUUGUGUAAAAUGGUCUGUAUCAUAAUGGAUGACUGAUUAUCCCAUCCACAUUAUUUGGAUUCACUUAAUACUAGGUUUUAACGUUAGGAGAAUAAAACCCUCAAGAAACCUAACAUAGAUUUGUAUAUUUAGUUUUCUCCUUCCUUAUCAUCUUCCACCAGACUUACAGGUGUUCCACCUGCUUGUAGUUUCGGUAAUAAUACCAGCUGGCGGUGGUUCCUAACUCUAGCUACACUUUAAAAUUACCUCGUGCAUUUAAAAAAAAAAUGCAGUUGUUUAGGUUCUUCCCCUAGAUAUUUUAAUUUACAAGGUUUGGGAUGUGGCCUGGGCACCGAUUUUUUUAACUUUUUAUUUGAAUGUAGACUUACAGGAAGUUGCAAAGAUAGUACAGAGAGGUCUGAUAGAGCCUCCACUGUUGGUUACAUCCCGCAUAGCUAGAGCACAAUAAUAAAGCCAGGACAUUGACACUGAGAUAAAAUGUGCCUGUGAUUCUGUGUCACCUUAUCCCUGAAGACUCUUGUAAUCAUUACCACAAUCAAAAUACAAACUAUUUCAACACCACGAAGAUCUCUCUCAUACAGUCCCUUUAUGGUCGUCCCUUUCUUUCCCCCACACCAUCCCUAACCCUUUGCAACCAUCAGUCUGUUCUCCAUUUCUAUAAUUUUGUCGUUUGGGGAAUGUUUUAUAAAUUGGUCCUCACAGCUUGUGACCUUCUAAGAUUAGCUCACCAUCCCCCCCACCCCCCCACCCCACCCAACUCAGCAGAAUGCCCUAGAGAUUUAUCCAAGUUAUUGCAGGUAUUUCUAGUUUGUUCCUUUCUGUUACUGAGUUCUACACUAUGGGUGUAACACAGUUUGUUUAAUCAUUCAGCAUUCACCUAUCAUACAUUUUGGUUCCUUCUUUUUUUGGGCGGGGGGAGUGCCUAUUACAAAUAAAACUGUCUUGAAAAAUUGCUUGCAGGUUUUUCUGUGGACCUAAAUUUUCAUUUCUCUGGGAUAAAUGUCCAGGAGUGUGAUUGCUGGGUCAUAUGGCUCCAGGGACCUACCUGACUUCCUAUUCAUGCUGAUCCCACUGAGACCCUUAUCAACCCUGACCUGUUCCCCAUGUGCCUCUUGGAUCUGCCUUAUGUUCCAGGUAAUGAAGCUGAUGCUUAGAGAGGUUGAGUAAUCCACCCAUGUCUCUCUGACCCAGGUCUGACCACCAUACUAUUGCCUGCAGAUGAAGAGGAGCAACAUAUUGUAUCCUGUGUUGCUCAAGAGAGCAGAAUUAGGACUUAGAAUAGCCUUCUAAGAAUUGCUCUGUGCCACCAAAUGGGUGGCAGACUUCUAGACAAGUUUUCUAAACUUGUCAGCCUCAACUACAAGUGAGCUGGUGAGAGAAAACAAACAUCACUAUCCAGGGGCUUUUGCUGGACUUACUGAAUGUAACAGAGAUCGGAUUGGAUUGUCUCUAAUGUCUGUUUCACGAAUAGAGUUCUGUAAAUAGUCUGUCUUUUCUGAAGCCAUUGUAUUUUCAGUAUUAGGUCAUUUAGUUGACUGAAAGUGUGUAUUCUGUAAAGAGAGAAAGGGAUGGGGAGAGAAAGGAGACUGUUACUUUUAUUUUCAUGUCCUUUGCUCUCCCACAUGCAUACUCCACCUCUAGCUCUUACACUCAAACAUCUACACUUGCAGCUUACUGUAGAUGCCACUGUCCUUUUCCACAUUUGCACAAGUAGAUUUCUCACUCCCAACCCUUAUUUUGAAAAUAAGGUGUUUCUACAUCUUUCAUUUUAUUUUUAAAAAUAAAAGUUGGACCACAGUUUAGAUAUAUUAAUCACUUUUCCCAGAACUCAUGUUUGGUCAUCUAAAAGCCUGUGUCUAAAAGUUGUGAGGAAUAGUUGAAGCUUUCAUCAAUGUAAAGGUUGGGUAAUACUCUACUGCCAAAAGUAGUUAAUUAAUUUCUGCAGAGUUAAGGUAGUAGAAAUGGGAGCUCUCAUCUGUUUUGAGAAAUGUGUACAAAAUUAAUGUUUUCCCAGAGAAGCAUUUUCCAAUGUCUCCAUCUAAUUUGGCUCCAUUCUGAAGAGAAGCACAAUGAUGCUUCAGCAACUUGAAAUUUUACUAAGUGAACUAACUAAUCCUGCCUUUGAAACAGUGGACUGGGGCUCAAAAGACAAGCUUCUUAGACUAAUACUGGGCACUUUCUCUUUUCUCACUCUCUCUUUAUUCCCUUUUCUUUCUCCUUCUCUUGUUCCAUCUUUUCACUUUGGAAACUAUUAGGUUUCAAAAAUGCAUCUGUAGCUGUUUAUUUUACAUGUGCCUGAUUUUAUGAGUUUAUGGGCUCCUGAAAAUUAAAUUAAUUUUAAAUGAGCUUUAAUUACUAAUGCUUUGGGCCAUUGCCUUUAACAAAGUCAACAUAACAAUCAGGGUUACCUUAGUUUGUCUCUUUGAAGAAUGUAGUCAUUCAUUUGGGCUCUUAUUGAGCAGAGCAGCUUUCUAACUGGAAAAACAAAUAAAUAAAAUAAAACCACUGCUAUAUUUGAAUGCCUGAAUUUAUUUCUUUUCCAGAAAUAGCCACCUUUGAUUUAAGAAACAGGAUUUUAAGUGUGCAUUAAAGGAUUCAUUUUGUUAAUAAUAUCUUGUUAUUUUUCAGAAGAGGAGAGGAUCCUAUUCAUAAUAUUAUGCUAUGCAAAUACAGAGGCAGAGGUUGAAUCAUGACCUGAAGGUCUGAAUUCUGUUCUUAGCUUGGUGCAGAGUGCUUUGUAUGUAACAUUAGUGAAAUCGGCUUACUUCUCAAUACAGUGCCCC